Molecule: ribosomal RNA, 243 nt
Filed under: Escherichia coli
Lineage: Bacteria; Pseudomonadati; Pseudomonadota; Gammaproteobacteria; Enterobacterales; Enterobacteriaceae
Description: partial 16S ribosomal RNA
Rfam family: Bacterial small subunit ribosomal RNA
Source: RNAcentral
UUUCGGCUAUCGCUUACAGAUGGGCCCGCGGUGCAUUAGCUAGUUGGUAGGGUAAUGGCCUACCAAGGCAACGAUGCAUAGCCGACCUGAGAGGGUGAUCGGCCACACUGGGACUGAGACACGGCCCAGACUCCUACGGGAGGCAGCAGUAGGGAAUCUUCCGCAAUGGACGAAAGUCUGACGGAGCAACGCCGCGUGUAUGAAGAAGGUUUUCGGAUCGUAAAGUACUGUUGUUAGAGAAGA